This 261-nucleotide ribosomal RNA is filed under the name Triticum aestivum (bread wheat). Its description in RNAcentral is "partial small subunit ribosomal RNA". Lineage: Eukaryota; Viridiplantae; Streptophyta; Magnoliopsida; Poales; Poaceae. The record is from RNAcentral.
AUGGCGUACAGGUUAACUCUGCCACUUGACAGUCGCAUUCACAACGUUUUUCAUGUGUCCCAGCUGAAGCCGUUCACUCCAGACUAAACACCAGUAUUCUCUGAACUGCCCAAGACACCAGAUCUCACAGCUGCAACACUCGUACCAGAAGCUAUCCUGGAGCGCCGCAUGGUCAAGAAAGGGAACGCCUCCAUCGUGCAAGUCCGAGUACAAUGGUCAUCCCUCUCGGACGCGUCUGCAACUUGGGAAGAACAGUUCUGA